This 162-nucleotide non-coding RNA is filed under the name Desulfobacterales bacterium. RNAcentral's name for it is "partial 6S RNA". It matches the Rfam family "6S / SsrS RNA". Rfam says of the family: E. coli 6S RNA was the first non coding RNA to be sequenced, but its function was unknown until recently. It consists of 184 nucleotides that fold into an extended hairpin structure with a large single-stranded internal bulge. The record is from RNAcentral. Lineage: Bacteria; Pseudomonadati; Thermodesulfobacteriota; Desulfobacteria; Desulfobacterales.
UUGCCCCUGCCAUGCUCGUGAUUGGAAGACAUUCUUUGACCCAACAGCAAUUAAAACGGGAACCUUCCCUGGUUUCGGUGUGCAUGUUCUGUUCUUCAGAAAAGCCUAAAGAAGCUAAACGGUGCCCACUUUGAACCCCAGGUUCAAAGACCUGACAACACG